GUCUAUGGCCAUACCACCCUGAACAUGCCUAAUGUCAUCUUGGAAGCUAAGCAGGGUCGGGCCUGGUUAGUAUUUGGAUGGGAGAAACACCAAGUUCACCAAAUCUC
Molecule: ribosomal RNA, 107 nt
Organism: Ovis aries (sheep)
Lineage: Eukaryota; Metazoa; Chordata; Mammalia; Artiodactyla; Bovidae
Source: Rfam